AUCAUAUUAGAAUGAUUUCUGAAGGAUCAUGUGACACUGAAGACUGGAGUAAUGAUGCUGAAAAUUCAGAGGAAUAAAUUACACUUUACUAUAUAUUCACAUAGAAAACAGCUGAUUUACAUUGGAAUAAUAUUUUCAGAUUUUUACUGUAUUUUUGAUUAAAUAAAUGCAGUCUUGGUGAGCAGAAGAGAAACUUCUGCUCACCAAGACUAAACUUUUAGACCAUAUACAGUAUGUACAGUAUGUGAUAUAAGUGUUUUUCUUUAUCGACUCUUGCUCAUGUUAUCUAAUGCAGUGACAUCUAGACAUUAUUCAGUCACUUAAGUGAACAAAUGUUUUUAGGACCGCUGUCUGUAAAGGCCAAAUAGAAAUUUCUACAAGUGACACCCAGAAUACACCGGCAUCAUGACAACAUACAGUUUCAGCUCCAGAUGUCCUGAUUUGUGUUCCUGCUGGUGCCGUGACCCGUGAGGUCGUGUCUCCAUCUGCUCCUGCAGGAGUCUGACCCUUCACGAGCUUAAGAGCUCGGGGAGGCUGUUGCCAUGGUGCUCACAGGCAUCGCCAGGGAAACCAGAUCUUCACAAGCCAAUGAGGCUCAAUAAGAGAAAUGUUGUUGUUCUCUGCAGCUUGUCAGAUGUUCUGUGUCAAAGGUCAGCGAGUUGUAAUGUAACCUGCCGGUGUGAACAUGAAAACUUCAUGAGUUCUGCUUCUCGUACUGAGAUUUUUCUCCGGAGGAAUGCUGAAUCAGUCUUUUUAUGCAUUAAAGUCCUAAAUGCAUCCCAUAAUGCAA
Molecule: long non-coding RNA, 790 nt
Organism: Ctenopharyngodon idella (grass carp)
Lineage: Eukaryota; Metazoa; Chordata; Actinopteri; Cypriniformes; Xenocyprididae
Exons: 3
Source: RefSeq, a predicted model, not a curated record